Molecule: ribosomal RNA, 499 nt
Filed under: uncultured bacterium
Lineage: Bacteria
Description: bacterial SSU rRNA
Rfam family: Bacterial small subunit ribosomal RNA
Source: RNAcentral
UUUAGAUCCGGGCUCAGGACAAACGCUGGGGGCGUGCUUACCUUUUGCAAGUCAAACGAUGAAUUUCCUUCGGGAAUGGAUUAGGGGCGAACGGGUGAGGAACACGUGAGAAACCUGCCUUUCAUUUUGGGAUAACUCCGGGAAACCGGGGCUAAUACCGAAUACUCCGUCUCGGCGGCUUCGCUGAGCCGGGAAAAAAUUUUGAUGAAAGAUGGCCUCGCGGCCUAUCAGCUAUUGGGGGAGGUAAUGGCUCACCAAGGCAACAACGGGUAGUCGGCCUGAGAGGGCGACCGGCCACACUGGGACUGAAACACGGCCCAAACUCCUACGGGAGGCAGCAGUGGGGAAUAUUGGGCAAUGGGUGCAAGCCUGACCCACCGCCGCCGCGUGAGGAAUGAAGGCCUUCGGGUUGUAAACCUCUUUCAGUAGGGAAGAAGCGAAAGUGACGGUACCUAAAGAAAAAGCACCGGCUAACUAUGUGCCAGCACCCGCGGAAAUA